UGGGGAAUAUUGCACAAUGGGCGCAAGCCUGAUGCAGCCAUGCCGCGUGUAUGAAGAAGGCCUUCGGGUUGUAAAGUACUUUCAGCGAGGAGGAAGGCGUUGUGGUUAAUAACCGCAACGAUUGACGUUACUCGCAGAAGAAGCACCGGCUAACUCCGUGCCAGCAGCCGCGGUAAUACGGAGGGUGCAAGCGUUAAUCGGAAUUACUGGGCGUAAAGCGCACGCAGGCGGUGUGUCAAGGCGGAUGUGAAAUCCCCGGGCUCAACCUGGGAACUGCAUCCGAAACUGGCAGGCUAGAGUCUUGUAGAGGGGGGUAGAAUUCCAGGUGUAGCGGUGAAAUGCGUAGAGAUCUGGAGGAAUACCGGUGGCGAAGGCGGCCCCCUGGACAAAGACUGACGCUCAGGUGCGAAAGCGUGGGGAGCAAACA
Molecule: ribosomal RNA, 427 nt
Filed under: uncultured bacterium
Lineage: Bacteria
Description: partial 16S ribosomal RNA
Rfam family: Bacterial small subunit ribosomal RNA
Source: RNAcentral